AAAAAUGUCUCUUGCUGUUUGACAGAGUUUGAUUGAAGGAAUGCAGCUGAAAUUGAAACCAAAAGAGGCAUUAUGCUUCCAGAAAAAAAAAAAAAAUCUCGUGGUAAUGUACUGCAAGCAACAUAUCGAGAGCUAAAGGACAGGGUGGAAAGAUUCAAACAGUUUCUGUGAAAGUUGGGGACUAAGUUCUCUAAGAAUAUUGUAGCACCAAAGUAGUUCUACAUCACAAGGAUUAAUACUUCGUAUCUCAAAAAUAGAGAGU
This 262-nucleotide long non-coding RNA is filed under the name Mus musculus (house mouse). RNAcentral's name for it is "long non-coding RNA chrX:85823167-85823429". The record is from RNAcentral. Lineage: Eukaryota; Metazoa; Chordata; Mammalia; Rodentia; Muridae.